GACGAACGCUGGCGGCGUGCCUAAUACAUGCAAGUAGAACGCACAGUUUAUACCUUCGCUUGCUACACCAUAGACUGUGAGUUGCGAACGGUUGAGUAACGCGUAGGUAACCUGCCUGGUAGCGGGGGAUAACUAUUGGAAACGAUAGCUAAUACCGCAUAAUAUUAAUUAUUGCAUGAUAAUUAAUUUAACGGUUCAAUUGCACCACUACCAGAUGGACCUGCGUUGUAUUAGCUAGUAGGUGAGGUAACGGCUCACCUAGGCGACGAUACAUAGCCGACCUGGGGAGGAGAACGGCCAAACUGAGACUGAGACACGGCCCAGACCCCUACGGGAGGCAGCAGGAGGGAAUCUUCGGAAAUGGACGAAAGUCUGACCGAGCAACGCCGCGGGAGUGAAGAAGGGUUUCGGAUCGUAAAGCUCUGUUGUAAGAGAAGAACGGGUGUGAGAGUGGAAAGUUCACACUGUGACGGUAUCUUAACAGAAAGGGACGGCUAACUACGUG
RNAcentral lists this ribosomal RNA (505 nucleotides) under uncultured bacterium. Its description in RNAcentral is "partial 16S ribosomal RNA". It matches the Rfam family "Bacterial small subunit ribosomal RNA", at positions 28 to 507 of the family's 1533-position model. The record is from RNAcentral.